GGAUUAGAUACCCUGGUAGUCCACGCCGUAAACGAUGUCUACUAGUUGUUGGGAGACUUGAUCUCUUAGUAACGAAGCUAACGCGAUAAGUAUCCCGCCUGGGGAGUACGGCCGCAAGGUUAAAACUCAAAGGAAUUGACGGGGACCCGCACAAGCGGUGGAGCAUGUUGUUUAAUUCGAUGCAACGCGAAGAACCUUACCUAGACUUGAUCCUCAUCGUAGAUUAUGUAAUGUAAUCGUCAGUUCGGCUGGAUGAGUGACAGAUGCUGCACGGCUGUCGUCAGCUCGUGUUG
Molecule: ribosomal RNA, 293 nt
Filed under: uncultured bacterium
Lineage: Bacteria
Description: partial 16S ribosomal RNA
Rfam family: Bacterial small subunit ribosomal RNA
Source: RNAcentral